UACGUAGGGUGCGAGCGUUGUCCGGAAUUAUUGGGCGUAAAGAGCUCGUAGGCGGUCUGUCGCGUCGAAUGUGAAAACCCGGGGCUCAACUCCGGGCUUGCAUUCGAUACGGGCAGGCUAGAGUUCGGUAGGGGAGUCUGGAAUUCCUGGUGUAGCGGUGAAAUGCGCAGAUAUCAGGAGGAACACCGGUGGCGAAGGCGGGGCUCUGGGCCGAUACUGACGCUGAGGAGCGAAAGCGUGGGGAGCAAACAGG
Molecule: ribosomal RNA, 253 nt
Filed under: uncultured bacterium
Lineage: Bacteria
Description: partial 16S ribosomal RNA
Rfam family: Bacterial small subunit ribosomal RNA
Source: RNAcentral